Molecule: ribosomal RNA, 425 nt
Filed under: uncultured bacterium
Lineage: Bacteria
Description: partial 16S ribosomal RNA
Rfam family: Bacterial small subunit ribosomal RNA
Source: RNAcentral
GUGGGGAAUCUUAGACAAUGGGCGCAAGCCUGAUCUAGCCAUGCCGCGUGAGCGAUGAAGGCCUUAGGGUUGUAAAGCUCUUUCGUGGGGGAAGAUAAUGACUGUACCCCAAGAAGAAGCCCCGGCUAACUCCGUGCCAGCAGCCGCGGUAAUACGGAGGGGGCUAGCGUUGUUCGGAAUUACUGGGCGUAAAGCGCACGUAGGCGGACUGGAAAGUCAGGGGUGAAAUCCCGGGGCUCAACCCCGGAACUGCCUUUGAAACGCCCAGGCUUGAGUUCGAGAGAGGUGAGUGGAAUUCCGGGGGUAGAGGUGAAAUUGGUAGAUAUACGGAGGAACACCAGGGGCGAAGGCGGCCUGCUGGACAUUAACUGACGCUGAGGCGCGAAAGCGUGGGGAGCAAACAGGAUUAGAAACCCGGGUAGUCC